GGCACGUGGCGGCGGCGAUCCUCCGGGCAGGGCGGGCGGCCUGUCUCGCCGAAGCAGGCGCUCCGCCAGGCCCUUUCCCGGGACCUCGGGCCCUUCCAGAGCCCGGACAGUGUCUCCCUUCUCCAGUCUCCCGCAAGCCUCGCCUCUGUUCUGCCAAGUCUGUCCUUCCCGUCUUCACCCCAGCUCCCUCCAGGGCAGCCAGGAGAUGAGGUGGCAGCUGUGGCAACUGAGCAGGGACUGGACUGCGGUCUUUCAGAAUUUACUGGGCCUGGAUCCAGACCUCCAGACUCGCACGGCAGCCCGCAUGAGUAACGGGGGCCUGUGAUCACAGGGACCGGGGGUCAGAGACGGCUCUCCCGGCGCCGGGCCGUGGGGAUCCCUCGGGCAGGGCUCAGGGGUCCCUUCCCCCGACAGAAACCAGGUCCUCGCGACCGGCGGGGAGCCGCCAGCGGAGAGCCAAUCCUGGGCCGCGCCGUGAGAGGGGCGGGACGUCCGCGCCCUCGCCCCGCCCACUUCAGGCAACUGAAAAGCUGUGCGGUGACCUAGGCAACGCAUCGAGCGUCACUGCCACCGGCUAAAUUUGCUGCGUUCCGCCCCUCUUGGCAUCACUAAACGGAAAGCGAAGUCCUUUAAGGGGCAAAAAGGACGGAGGUCCUGAUUGGCUGGUUGGGUGAGUCCAGUCCCAGCAGCGGAGUGUCUGGGGCUGAGAGAAGGGCGGCCUCGCCCGGGUCAGACACGGAGGGCGGGGUGCCCGCUGCUGAGAAGCCGAGCAGAGAAGGGACUUCGGUGGCUGAAAAGUCGGUGUUUCCAGUUCAGGAUAACGGUCCUCCUGGGUGCGGGCGGAGGUAGCGGGACUCCAAGAACCCUGGGUCCCACCACCCGAUGUUGCUAUACUUUCUCCAUCGUAGUGCUGUGGGGGAGGGAACACGGGCAUUUAAUGUUUAAAUUCAACAUUUCUCGGGCGGCUUUUGUGUGCCAGGCCUGGUGCUAAGUGUUGGGGCUCAGUGAACAAAACAAAGAUUGCUGCCUUCUUGGAAGUUUGUAUUCUAACAGGAGGAGAAAAUACAGUACGCAGGCCACGGGGGUGGGAAAGUAGAGCAAGUGAAGAUGGAGCAGUUCGCACCAUUACGUAGGUGGCCGCUUAGACACCAGCGAGAAAGUGCGAUCUGAACGUAGAAUUGAAGGAGGCAAAAUGGCUAGCCAGUGCGCUACCUGGGAGCAGAGCAUUCCAGGCCGAAGGAGCAGCUGACGGGCCUCAUGACGAACAGCAAGGACAAGAGAGUGGCAGAGCAUUGUGUGGGGGAGAGCGGCAGAAUUAGUUUUCCUCCAGCCAGACCAGCUGUGGUCAGGAGUGUGAUGACUAGUAUGAUGAAUGCUGCCUUGGAAAGGUGACCUUGAGGUUUCCUUGGGCUCGGUCACCCUUCUCCCCUUCGGCACCUUCUUACGCUGGUGUGAGGGAUCCUUGCCGGCUUCAGAGCAGCUGGAGUGGGAGAAGCACGCCCCAGGGUCCCAUCCGUUUUCCUCCAGCGGGUCGUCUGGCGAUCCAGUUUUCCUGUCUCGAGUAGAAGUCUGUCUCCUGCUCGGAAGGGAUGCAGCGGGCCUGUGACAGAAAAUCCCUGCACAAGCCAAAGCAUUCAUUACACCCAGGGUUUGAUUCAGAUGCUGCGUGUCAUUCUUAAUUUUAACAUCAUGAUCUACACUUACGUCUCCUGUUCCUAUAGCAGCCUGAAGGGUCACCCAUAUACUAUAUUUUAGGGACUCAAAUCAAUCCCACUUCCGGGAGCUACUCUAGUCCUGGGCAGGGCAAUUGGCAAUACCCAUCCCAACGCAGACGUGUCUUCCCACAUAGUUUGGCAUAUUCUUCUUUAAGGUCUGUUCAUUUUCUCAACCUUCCCGGAGGCCUGUGGUCUCCAGGCUGUAUGUGGCAGUGGGUGCCCUUAGAAUCGGAGUGAGAACCCCAAGUCCGAUUCCUUUCCUCUCAUGCACGUACGGGUGAAACGGUUUCAACAGAUUUGGGGGCCCAAAGCAGGGCCUGUAAGGUCUCAAAGGCGCGUUCACAUUCCUUAUCCCCGUCCAGGGUCUCCUCUGGCCCCUUCAGAGCCUCACACGGGGUCUCGCUAUGAGUCCAAAUGUGGCAGCACCCAGCCGUUCCCCCAAAUCCUCUCUCUGCCUCCUGGUCUUUGGGGGCUGUACCCGAAUGCUAGUGUCCUCUGGUCCCCUGUUCAACUCCGUUGCCAGGCCCCAGGAGAAACCCCAGGAAGUAGGCGGCCUGCUUGUAGAAUCUGAGCUUUGGGGGCCGAGACCUUAUAGCCACAGCUUGCUAGGUGCUUGGGGAGUCCAUAAUGUUUGUCAGACAGUGCUCACAGGUGGGCCCUGUGACCAGGAGGUCAUCCACAUAUUGUAGCGAGACUCCCUUCUGAAACUGCAGCUUUUCCGGUCCUUGCUUAGCGUCUCCCCGAAAAUGGUGGGGGAGCUCUUGAACCCCUGGGGAAGGACUGUCCAA
Long non-coding RNA from Myotis lucifugus (little brown bat), 2503 nucleotides. RefSeq lists it as uncharacterized. The transcript has 4 exons. Lineage: Eukaryota; Metazoa; Chordata; Mammalia; Chiroptera; Vespertilionidae. The record is from RefSeq and is a predicted model, not a curated record.